RNAcentral lists this ribosomal RNA (2346 nucleotides) under Triticum aestivum (bread wheat). RNAcentral describes it as "partial small subunit ribosomal RNA". Lineage: Eukaryota; Viridiplantae; Streptophyta; Magnoliopsida; Poales; Poaceae. The record is from RNAcentral.
AUGGGUGGCCAUGCUCUGCUCAUCUUGCUGUCGGUGGCGUCCCUGGCAUUGCUGCCGGGAGCCACGCCGCUGCAGCCCUCACAGGCCUGGUCCCUCUUCAAGCUCCGGCAGCUCCUGGGCGACCCGCCGGUGCUCGGCACCUGGCACAACUACACCGACUUCUGCUACGGCGGCGACUACAAGACCGCCUCCGCCUUCGUCGAGUGCUACGAGGACAGCGUCACGCAGCUCCACAUCAUGGGCGACCCCGGGGCCGGGGCGCGCCCGCUCCCCGCCACCUUCUCCAUCGACGCCUUCUUCACCACGCUGUCCAGGCUGCCGGAUCUCAAGGUGCUCACGCUCACCAACCUCGGCCUCUGGGGGCCACUGCCGGGGAAGAUCUCCCGCCUCCAGAAGCUGGAGAUCGUCAACGUCAGCUCCAACUACCUCUACGGCGAGCUCCCGCGGGGGCUCUCCCAGCUCGGCAGCCUCCAGACGCUGGUCGCGGACCACAACAUGCUGGGAGGCAAGCUGCCGGGGUGGCUCAAGGACAUGCCGCUGCUGGCGGUCCUCAGCCUCCGGAACAACAUGCUGCAGGGGACGCUGCCGGAGUCGCUCAAGGACAUGCUGUCGCUGAGGUCGCUGGUGCUGGCGUCCAACAACCUCUCCGGGAAUCUGCCGGACCUCAAGAACCUCCAGGUGAUUGACAUGGCCAACAACGCGCUAGGGCCCAAGUUCCCGCGGCUGGGGCGGAAGGUGGCCAGCGUGGUGCUCGCCGGCAACAAGUUCAGCGACGGCCUCCCCGCCGACAUGCUCGCCUCGUGCUACCUCCUGGAGCGGCUGGACGUGUCGGGGAACAGGUUCGUGGGGCCUUUCCCGGCGGCGCUGCUGUCGCUGCCGUCCAUGGAGUACCUGAGCAUCGCCGGGAACAGGUUCACCGGGCGGCUCUCGGGCAACGCCUCCUGCGGCGAGAACCUCCGGUUCGUGGACCUCUCGUCGAACCUCCUGACGGGGAGCCUCCCCGGCUGCCUGCUGGCCGCCCCCGGCAAGAGCGUGCUCUUCUCGGCCAACUGCCUUUCCACAGCCGGCGACGACUCCCAGUCCCAGCACCCGUCGCCCUUCUGCCGGAACCAGGCAUUGGCCGUCGGGAUCGUGCCUGAGCAGGGACACAAGAAGAGUGGCGCCAAGGCCGGUGUGGUGGCCGGCAUUGUCCUUGUGGGAGCAUUGGUCGUGAGCGCGGCGGUGGUGUUUGUGGUGAGGAAGGCGAGCGCGCCCAAGGCGAGGCCUGCACGGAGACUGGUGGAGAACGCGUCGAGCGCUUACCCUUCGAAUUUGCUGGCCGACGCGCGUUACAUAUCUCAGACGGUGAAGCUGGGGGCUCUUGGCAUUCCGGCAUACAGAUCAUUCUCCUUGGUGGAGCUGGAGGCGGCCACCGAUAACUUCCAGGUGUCUAGCCUCAUGGGGCAAGAUGCUCAUGGCCAGAUGUACCGUGGACGGCUAAGCAAUGGGACCCCGGUGACAAUCAGGUCCCUCAAGGUGAACAAGAGCCAGAGCUUCACCCGCCACAUCGAGAUGAUAUCCAAGCUGAGGCAUCGGCACCUGGUGAGCGCGCUGGGGCACUGCUUCCAGUACAACCUCGACGAUUCCACCGUCACGCACCUCUACCUCGUCUUCGAAUACGUGCACAAUGGCAACCUCAGGGGCAGGAUUUCACAAGGAACGGAAGGCCGGAGGCUGUCGUGGGGCCAAAGAAUAUCGACCGCCAUUGGUGUGGCCAAGGGCAUUCAGUUCCUGCAUGGAGGGAUCAUACCAGGCCUGUUUGCGAAUAACCUCAAGAUCACCAACAUUCUUAUGGACCAGAAUCAGGUCCCCAAAAUCGGCAGCUACAACAUCCCCAUUCUGUCAGAGACCAUGAAAUCAGAGAUGCAGGGAGGAGCUGGAAGCAAGUAUCCACCGGAUAGAAUUUGCAGGGUUCCGAAUGGCGAUAAGAUUGACAUGUACGAUUUUGGUGUGAUACUGCUGGAGGUUAUCUCCGGCAGGCCCAUCAGUUCCAUAUACGAGGUGGAGAUGAUGAAAGAACAGUUGCAAUCGGCGCUGACAGCACAAGGACCGAGCAAGAGGAGCAACUUGGUGGACCCGGCGGUCAGCAAGGGCUGCUCCGACGACUCCAUGAGGACCGUCAUGGAGGUCUGCCUCGGCUGCCUGGCCAAGGAGCCAACGCAGAGGCCCUCAGUGGAGGACGUGCUCUGGAACCUGCAGUUUGCGGCCCAGGUGCAGGAUGGCUCACGACGCAGCAGCGAGGAGUCCCCGCUCUCGCCCUCGCAGCCCCAUGCACAAUCCGCACACGACUCACCGACCCACCGCUAG